UGAAAGCAAAAGCAUCAUAGCUGAAAAAGAGUUCAAUAGACUGUUUGAAAAUAAGGAUAUUUUUGCUUCAAUAGACUUUGUGAAAAUAAAGAUAUUUUUGCUUCAGCAGGAAUAGAAUGAUUUUAAGCAAAAAAGAAAAAAUUAAAAAAGAAAACAAAAUAGUAUUAUGAGAAGAGGUUAUCCAUCCUCUGUUGGAAAAUUUACAUAAAAUAUGAGUGGGUCUAUAAAUUCUGCAUGAAAAGAACAGGAAGAACAAAAAGAUUAUAUAGAAAUGAGAAAAAAGUCAAAGGAGAAGAAAAAGGGAAAUAGAGGAAUUCCAAGGGAAAUAAAAAAAAGAAAGCAUAAGUGGUGGAGGAAGAAGUAGAAAGAGAAAGACAAGAAAAGGAGAAAGGGGAUUGGAGAUAUAUUUGGAUUUUUUAACAUCCUAGACAUGAUUCAUAUUUUUGUAGUACAAUACCAGAAAGAUGUUCAAGUCAGAAUAUACUCUACAUGAGAUCCAACCCAAGCCAUCUCAAUCUGCACAUAAGGAAGUCCUAGAUCUUUACGAGAAGACUAACUCUCAAUGAUCUGAUCUACAGAAUAGGAAAAUCUAUAGUGCUGUUACUAUAGAAGGUGUCAUCACUAUGACUUUGCACAGAAUACUGUAGUCACCAAAGAUUAUACGUGCCUUUUCUCCUUAGCUUUUGGCUAAGUUGGUUACUUUAUGACCUCAGCUCUUCAAUAAGUCAACAGAAGACAUUAAUCUAAUGCAGCUGUAAUUGUGUGAGAAAUAGUCUUCCAUUUUUCUAUUUCCCAGAAAAGUGUCCAUCAGAUCAAAUAUUGGGAUCAAUCAGUCACGGGAUUGAUGCUAAGAUUUCUGGAACCCAACAUGAGAAGUCAGUCAGUUAUGCAUUCCAUUUGGAUCAUGCACUUCAAUCAACAGCUUAGUGGUUGAAGGACUCUUCUAGAUGGUGGGCUAUUUCUUCCAAGGAGAUAUAUGAAGAGCAAUGAUUCAGUUCAGUGAAUAUUUCUUUGUGGCUUCCUCAACACAGAUGCAUGGCCCACCUAAAGGGCUGUUUGGGAUAAGCCUGAGGCCCUCUUACUCACACCCUGUUCAGUCACUGCAGUGGUGGGUAGGGUGGUCUUCCAGCCAAGCCCUUGCUUGCUCUCCACUGCCUCUAUGCUUCUCUUUUUCUCCUUUAUCUCACUGCUUAACUUAUUUGAGCAAUUAGAGGGAGACAAAGGUUAAUGCACUAUAAUAAUACUGAAAUGUGGAAUUUAGAGUGGAGUUUUCAGGCAGAGAAACUUACAGUUUCAUUAGAAUUAACCUUUUAUUGCAUGUGGUAGAAUUUUCUCUGUGAUUCAUGUUACCCAGAGGGUUUUACAUUCCUGGAGCUUUGGUUAGAUAUUUCUGAUAUACUGACAAGAACCUUCAGACACCAAAGUUUUUACUAAACUAAGCUAAAUAGAAAUCUAUUCUUUGUUUCCCUAAGGGUGCAAAAACAAGUUGAAUUAAAUGCCUUGCAACAUCACCAUUUCAUCUAAGAUAAACUAGAUAGAAAUCACUUUAUUUCAACUGUAUUCCCUAUGGGUAUCAAUGCACCAGUGGAAUGAGUAAGAUUUUACAAGUCCAAAUUGAAUAUCUUUAUGUGAAUGUUUGAAAAUACCCAAACAUUAUUUUCAAGAAAAUAACACUUUUUCCAUUCAUUUACUCAACGAAUAUUUAAUGAGUAUAUAUUACAUGUUCAGGACUCUGGAAAAUUCAAAAUAAUUGCCUGAACAUUUGUGGUGGAAGAAGUUGCAGAGUAAUAAUUCAACUGUCCUCUUUUAAAACUUUUCCUAGAUCCUUUUAGUAAUGAAGAGUGUGAAAUUUGUUGAUCAUUUUUAAAUUGCUGACAAAACACUUUAAAGAUAAGGAUAAAUCUAGGACAGUAAAACAAUCUAAAUCAAUUACCAGAUUCACUGGCUUGUGUAAAUUAGUAGUGAGAAAUCUCCAGCCAGAGGAGAAACUUCAUUUUAAUUUAUUGGGUCCUUGCAAGAUAGGACUGUGAUGCCUGCUUUCAAAAGAUGGGAGGGGAAAUCUCUUCUAUGUCACAUGACCUACCUUAGCUUACUUAUAUAUAUGGGUUCUGUACCCACAGAUUCAACCAACCCCAGAUUAAAAGCACAGUGCUUCAAAAAUAAAAUUGCAUUUGUAUUUAAAAUGUAGUU
Non-coding RNA from Ictidomys tridecemlineatus (thirteen-lined ground squirrel), 2190 nucleotides. The record is from RefSeq and is a predicted model, not a curated record. NCBI's taxonomy places the organism in Eukaryota, Metazoa, Chordata, Mammalia, Rodentia, Sciuridae.